GAUCAUGGCUCAGAAUCAACGCUGGCGGCGUGCCUCAGAACAUGCAAGUCGAACGAUUAAACUUUCCUUCGGGAAAGAUAUAAAGUGGCGUACGGGUGAGUAACACGUAAGUAAUCUACCUUUGGGUGGGGGAUAACUCAGGGAAACUUGAGCUAAUACCGCAUAAUGCAGCGGCUCUUAAUUGAGACGGUUGUUAAAGCAUUUAUGUGCCUAAAGAGGAGCUUGCGGCAGAUUAGCUAGUUGGUAAGGUAAUGGCUUACCAAGGCAACGAUCUGUAGCCGACCUGAGAGGGUGGUCGGUCACACUGACACUGAAUAACGGGUCAGACUCCUACGGGAGGCAGCAGUCGGGAAUUUUGGGCAAUGGGCGAAAGCCUGACCCAGCAACGCCGCGUGAAGGAUGAAGUCUUUCCGGAUGUAAACUUCGGAAAUAUAGGAAGAAUAAAUGACGGUACUAUACCUAAGGUCCGGCUAACUACGUGCCAGCAGCCGCGGUAAUACGUAGGGACCAAGCGUUGUUCGGAUUUACUGGGCGUAAAGGGUGCGUAGGCGGCGUGACAAGUCACUUGUGAAAUCUCCGAGCUUAACUCGGAAAGGUCAAGUGAUACUGUCGUGCUAGAGUACAGAAAGGGUAACUGGAAUUCUUGGUGUAGCGGUGAAAUGCGUA
RNAcentral lists this ribosomal RNA (666 nucleotides) under uncultured bacterium. Its description in RNAcentral is "bacterial SSU rRNA". It matches the Rfam family "Bacterial small subunit ribosomal RNA", at positions 15 to 692 of the family's 1533-position model. The record is from RNAcentral.